AAAAUAAUCCUACCCUUUGUGAAUUUUGUUUGUUUGAAUAAUUUUUUUUUUUUAAAAAAUUAUUGGAGUCUUUCCCUUUAGAGUUUGCUUUUGAGUUUGUAAAAGAAUUCGAAGACAUCUAAAGGGGAUGGUCAAUAAUUUUUUUGAAAAAAGACAUUUUUUAAAAUUAAACUUUUUGUAUUCAUUUGUCUAAAAAUUAUUUUUAUAAUAUAAAAACAACUUUUGACAAUGGAUCUCUUGGUUCUCGCAACGAUGAAGAACGCAGCAAAAUGCGAUAAGUAGUGUGAAUUGCAGAAUACGUGAAUCAUCGAAUCUUUGAACGCGUAUUGCACUUUUUUAGCUUACUAAAAAGUAUGUCUGUUUGAGUAUCAGUAAAAUAUUCUCAUAAAAAUCAUUGUGUAUUUUUAUGGUUAUGAGUGUUUUACAACGAUACAAGUUGUUUCACUUUAAAUUUUUUUUUAAUAUUGAAAUUUUUCUAAUUUUAAUAAUUAAAAUUGGAUAAAAUUUUCCCGUCAAAAGGAAUAACCUAAACAAUUUUAAAUGAUUAAUUUUAGCAAAAUUUUCGAAAAAAAAGGAAAAUUUUUAUUAAAAUAACUUGAUCUCAAAUCAGAUAAGAGUACCCGCUGAACUUAAGCAUAUCAAUAAGCGGAGGAAAAGAAACUAACAAGGAUUCCCUUAGUAACGGCGAGUGAAGCGGGAAGAGCUCAAAUUUGAAAUCUUCAAGGUUUUACCUUGACGAAUUGUAGUUUAAAGAAGUGUUUUCUGCUGAAGUUUUGGUAAAAGUUCUUUGGAAUAGGACAUCAUAGAGGGUGAGAAUCCCGUAUUUGACCAUUAUUUUCAGCUUUGUGAUACACUUUCAAAGAGUCGGAUUGUUUGGGAAUGCAGUCCAAAAUGGGUGGUAAAUUUCAUCUAAAGCUAAAUAUUGGCGAGAGACCGAUAGCGAACAAGUACCGUGAGGGAAAGAUGAAAAGAACAUUGAAAAGAGAGUUAAACAGUACGUGAAAUUGUCAAAAGGGAAGCGUCUGACACCAGUGUUGUUUUCUCGAAAAUCAAUUAAAAAUGGCUCGAUUUUGUAUUGCUGAGACCUUAAAAGCUCACUGUACAUUUUUCGUGUCUUUUUUAAUGCACUUUUCGUUUAACAAGUCAACAUCAGUUUCUUUUGUUGUAAAAGGGUCAUUGGAAGGUGGCUUUCUUUUCGGAGAAAGUGUUUAUAGCCUUUGGCCUCUGCAAUCGGAGAGACUGAGGUCUGCAGCGUAGACUCUUCGGGGUUAGAUACAUUUGUGCUAAGUUAUAGCUUUUUAUAGACAACUUGUUGACUAUAAUUAGUCUUGUAGCUUACUCGCUUAUGCUAUUUUACC
This 1358-nucleotide unclassified non-coding RNA is filed under the name uncultured Neocallimastigales. RNAcentral describes it as "partial contains internal transcribed spacer 1, 5.8S ribosomal RNA, internal transcribed spacer 2, and large subunit ribosomal RNA". The stretch from base 597 to 1358 matches the Rfam family "Eukaryotic large subunit ribosomal RNA", at positions 1 to 621 of the family's 3401-position model. Lineage: Eukaryota; Fungi; Neocallimastigomycota; Neocallimastigomycetes; Neocallimastigales. The record is from RNAcentral.